UUUGCUCUUGCAUGUGGGCCCUCUUAACCGUCGUGUCUGCGUUAAGUGUUCUUCUGUGUGGUUCGUCCGUGUUUGCGCACGUUUCCUCUUUUGUACAGACUUGUAUCCAUGAAAUUACUUAUUUGUCAAUACAUGUGGAACUAGGUUAUUGAUAACAAAUAUGAGAGUACGGAAUGUUAUUUUUUCUUUAUUCUUUGAGUAGUGUGAUAUUCGAAUUUCUGUCAUAA
This 227-nucleotide long non-coding RNA is filed under the name Setaria italica (foxtail millet). RNAcentral describes it as "long non-coding RNA (SITA_LNC005112)". Lineage: Eukaryota; Viridiplantae; Streptophyta; Magnoliopsida; Poales; Poaceae. The record is from RNAcentral.